RNAcentral lists this ribosomal RNA (440 nucleotides) under uncultured bacterium. Its description in RNAcentral is "partial 16S ribosomal RNA". It matches the Rfam family "Bacterial small subunit ribosomal RNA", at positions 338 to 795 of the family's 1533-position model. The record is from RNAcentral.
CCUACGGGUGGCAGCAGUGGGGGAUAUUGCACAAUGGGGGAAACCCUGAUGCAGCGACGCCGCGUGUGGGAAGACGGUCCUCUGGAUUGUAAACCACUGUCCUCAGGGACGAAGAUGACGGUACCUGGGGAGGAAGCUUCGGCUAACUACGUGCCAGCGGCCGAGGUCAUUGGCAGGGAGCGGGCGUAUUCGGGAAUUACUGGGUGUAACGGGAGCGUAGGGGGGAGUGAAAGUUGUGGGUAAAGUCUACCGGCUAAACCGAUAGUCGCACUCAAAACUGCAGUCCUAGAGUUAAGUAGAGGCAGGCGGAAUUCGUGGUGUAGCGGUGAAAUGCGUAGAUAUUAGGAGGAACACCAGUGGCGAAGGCAGCCUGCUAAGCUUUUACUGACGCUGAGGCUCGAAAGUGUGGGGAGCAAACAGGAUUAGAUACCCGGGUAGUC